Molecule: ribosomal RNA, 250 nt
Filed under: uncultured prokaryote
Description: partial 16S rRNA
Rfam family: Bacterial small subunit ribosomal RNA
Source: RNAcentral
ACGGGGGGUGCAAGCGUUGUUCGGAAUCAUUGGGCGUAAAGAGCGUGUAGGCGGCUUGUUAAGUCAGAUGUGAAAGCCCUGGGCUUAACUCUGGUAAGCCUUGUGAACUGGAAGACUUGAGUGCAGGAGAGGAAAGUGGAAUUCCUAGUGUAGCGGUGAAAUGCGUAGAUAUUAGGAGGAACACCAGUGGCGAAGGCGACUUUCUGGACUGUAACUGACACUGAGGCGCGAAAGCGUGGGGAGCAAACAG